RNAcentral lists this ribosomal RNA (253 nucleotides) under Burkholderiaceae bacterium. RNAcentral describes it as "partial 16S ribosomal RNA". It matches the Rfam family "Bacterial small subunit ribosomal RNA", at positions 524 to 776 of the family's 1533-position model. Lineage: Bacteria; Pseudomonadati; Pseudomonadota; Betaproteobacteria; Burkholderiales; Burkholderiaceae. RNAcentral also lists the same sequence under 2 other names. The record is from RNAcentral.
UACGUAGGGUGCAAGCGUUAAUCGGAAUUACUGGGCGUAAAGCGUGCGCAGGCGGUUGUGUAAGACAGGUGUGAAAUCCCCGGGCUUAACCUGGGAAUUGCAUUUGUGACUGCACGACUAGAGUGUGUCAGAGGGGGGUGGAAUUCCACGUGUAGCAGUGAAAUGCGUAGAUAUGUGGAGGAACACCAAUGGCGAAGGCAGCCCCCUGGGAUAACACUGACGCUCAUGCACGAAAGCGUGGGGAGCAAACAGG